AAGGAAGGAAAGAAGAAAGGGAGGAAGAAAGGAAAACAGGGAGCCUAGAGAAAGGAGGGAGAAAAUAAGAAAAAAAAAAGAGAGAGAGAAAGGUAGAACCUGGAUUCUCUUCGUGGCCUGUGCUGAGGACUACAUCAGUCUCCUGCAAUUAUCAUCUACACUGAAAAACAAAGAGGACAGAGGCGAAGCUAGUGGCCCUCACCAUCCCCUGCAAGCUGAUUGCUUCUUACUGCAAGCACUUGAGCAUCUUCCUGAGAGCUUUCUUGGGCAAUGGGAACCAGGCUUGGCCCAAUCACAGGCAGGUGAAGUAUGAGGAAAUGGAGAAGGCAUUGUCCAAGGAGCAGUCUUCAACCUUCACCCCGCAAACGGAAUCUCACUCUGUCUCCCAGGCUGGAGUGCAGUGGUGCGAUCUCGGCUCACCGCAAUCUCCGCCUCUCGGGUUCACGCCAUUCUCCUGCCUCAACCUCCAGAGCAGCUGGGACUACAGGUUCCUGCCACCACGCCCGGCUAAUUCUUUGUAUUUUUAGUAGAGACGGGGUUUCACCGUGUUAGCCAGGAUGGUCUAGAUCUCCUGACCUCGUUAUUUGCCUGCCUGGGCCUCCCAAAAUGCUGGGAUUACAGGCGUAAGCCAUCACACCCAGCCGGCACAGUGCUUUUAAGCAUAUGGUUGAUCCAUAUGGUGGCAGUGUCAUUACUUAAUUUUUUUAAUAGUUGAAUAAUAUUCCAUUGUGUGGAUAUAUAACAUUUAAAAAAUCAAUUUAUAAAUUGAUGGACAUUUGGAUUAUUUCCACUUUUUGGCUAUUGUAAAUAAUGG
Molecule: long non-coding RNA, 814 nt
Filed under: Homo sapiens (human)
Lineage: Eukaryota; Metazoa; Chordata; Mammalia; Primates; Hominidae
Description: HSALNT0399652
Source: RNAcentral